GACGAACGCUGGCGGCGUGCUUAACACAUGCAAGUCGAACGGAAAGGCCCUGCUUUUGUGGGGUGCUCGAGUGGCGAACGGGUGAGUAACACGUGAGUAACCUGCCCUUGACUUUGGGAUAACUUCAGGAAACUGGGGCUAAUACCGGAUAGGAGCUCCUGCUGCAUGGUGGGGGUUGGAAAGUUUCGGCGGGUGGGGAUGGACUCGCGGCUUAUCAGCUUGUUGGUGGGGGAGUGGCUUACCAAGGCUUUGACGGGUAGCCGGCCCGAGAGGGUGACCGGGCACAUUGGGACUGAGGGACGGCGCAGAGUCGUACGGGAGGCAGCGGGGGGGAAUAUUGCACAGUGGGCGGAAGCCUGAUGCAGCAACGCCGCGUGCGGGAUGACGGCCUUCGGGUUGUAAACCGCUUUCGCUCGUGACGAAGCGUGAGUGACGGUAAUGGGUAAAGAAGCACCGGCUAACUACGUG
RNAcentral lists this ribosomal RNA (468 nucleotides) under uncultured bacterium. RNAcentral's name for it is "partial 16S ribosomal RNA". It matches the Rfam family "Bacterial small subunit ribosomal RNA", at positions 28 to 507 of the family's 1533-position model. The record is from RNAcentral.